UUUUCCCUCUCCCCUCCUGGUUUUCCUCUCGAUUGUCCUCUCCCUCUCUCGAUUUCCUUUUUCCUCUCUCCCUCUCGAUCAAAAUCGGUUUGUCUCCUCCGACGAUCUCUCUCUCUCUCUCUCUCUCUCUCUCUCUCUCUCUCUCUCUCUGUCUCUCUCUCUCUCUAUGAAGCACUCUAGGAUGCCAUUGCAGCCCUUUGCAACCCAGAUCCAGUGAGACGACAACUGGUGAUGAAGCCAACCUUCCAACUUUUUGAUUUAUGCAUAUUUAAUCAUCUUCUGUUUGCAUUUUUGUUUUGGGAUUUUUUUAUUUGUGGGUUUUCAGAGAUUAGAGAUGGUUUCCAGCAAAUGCACAGCCCUUAUCAAGUAAGGGGUUUCCGAAGAUUGGAGAUGGUUGGCUGGAGAAGCAGCGCUAAGGGUUUCGGAUUUGCUGCUGGACGUGGGUUUGGAGCUUGCGACUAGAGGUCUGUAAGAAUGUGGAAGGCCAGAGAUAUUCCAAGCGGUUAAACGAGAGACAUUUCCAGAUUGCAGGUUGGCUUCCUACAGUUUAUGGGAGAUUCUCAAGUUGCCCCACAUCAUCAUCAUCAACAAUAGACAACAACUUGAGGACAUUACAUGUUCUCAAUCUAAGUCCCUCUGUGAUCUCAAUCCGAACUCCCUUGCGAAUUCUGAGGCUGCUCCAUGUUCCGUGAGAACAAGUGGGAGUACAACCGAAGAGUGUGUGAGAUAGUGGAGCAGAGCUGGAUAGCAAACUAAUAGGUGCAAUCCCCAUCCAUCCAUCUUUUAUUUUCUCUGCUCAAAUAAAUGAUAGAAGACAAUGGAGGGAUUUGGAGUGGAGGGAUUCUAUAUACCGAUUUUAAUGGAUAUGACAUGUAUGAAUUGUUGUUGGAUGACUUGGUACUUUGUUUCUUCUCAAAGUUGGUGCUCAUGUAAUAUUAUAUGCCAUGUAUCUCUUACUUUGUUUGGUGUGAAUAAAAAGGGACUAGCUGAUAGCAUGCAGGAACUUCAAGCACAGAAUGUCUGUUAAAGAAUACUUUGCGUAAUUUGCAGAUAUUUGUCUUGUUUCAUCA
Long non-coding RNA from Magnolia sinica, 1070 nucleotides. RefSeq lists it as uncharacterized. The transcript is spliced from 4 exons. NCBI's taxonomy places the organism in Eukaryota, Viridiplantae, Streptophyta, Magnoliopsida, Magnoliales, Magnoliaceae. The record is from RefSeq and is a predicted model, not a curated record.